UACGUAGGGGGCAAGCGUUGUCCGGAUUCAUUGGGCGUAAAGAGCUUGUAGGCGGUUCGGCAAGUCGGGUGUGAAAACUCCAGGCUCAACCUUGAGACGCCACCCGAUACUGCUGUGACUUGAGUCCGGUAGGGGACCACGGAAUUCCUGGUGUAGCGGUGAAAUGCGCAGAUAUCAGGAGGAACACCGGUGGCGAAGGCGGUGGUCUGGGCCGGCACUGACGCUGAGAAGCGAAAGCGUGGGGAGCGAACAGG
RNAcentral lists this ribosomal RNA (254 nucleotides) under uncultured bacterium. RNAcentral describes it as "partial 16S ribosomal RNA". It matches the Rfam family "Bacterial small subunit ribosomal RNA", at positions 524 to 776 of the family's 1533-position model. The record is from RNAcentral.